UGACAGUGUAAGGCGAAGCUAAUAGUCUUUAGUUCGUUCGAAACGUUACGUCAUGUGUUCCUGACGUUCCGCAAAAUAAUUUCAUAUUAAUAAUGAUAAAAUAAAUUAAUCUUUAUCUAAAUUAUGAUCCACCAGAAACCAGAUCUUAUAAAGUGCAAACAAUAGAUAAAAGUCAUCCCGAAGGUUAGUCGAGGCCACAAAAUAAAUCCGCAGUUUGGGUCACGAACUCAGUGGACAUGAGUCAUGGUACAAGGAAGAUCUAGAGGCUAUGGCGUCAGCAACGCCUGAGCAGCCGGCGACGCUUCUCACGUUUCACCGCUUAACAUCUAAUCAUCAGCGCAGAUAAGAUAUCAAUUAACGACGUAAUUAUUUAUUAUUCCAAAAAAAUAAAUAUAAUACAUGUACCA
Melitaea cinxia (Glanville fritillary) is the source of this 407-nucleotide long non-coding RNA. RefSeq lists it as uncharacterized. The record is from RefSeq and is a predicted model, not a curated record. The transcript is spliced from 2 exons. Lineage: Eukaryota; Metazoa; Arthropoda; Insecta; Lepidoptera; Nymphalidae.